Molecule: ribosomal RNA, 119 nt
Filed under: Arabis alpina (gray rockcress)
Lineage: Eukaryota; Viridiplantae; Streptophyta; Magnoliopsida; Brassicales; Brassicaceae
Source: RNAcentral
GGGUGCGAUCAUUCCAGCACUAAUGCACCGGAUCCCAUCAGAACUCCGCAGUUAAGCGUGCUUGUGCGAGAGUAGUACUAGGAUGGGUGACCUCCUGGGAAGUCCUCGUGUUGCACCCC